AUGAAGGGGGUGCUACAGUGAGAGAGGUGUGUGUGUUUGGGUUCUACAUGAAGGGGGUGCUACAGUGAGAGAGGUGUGUGUGUUUGGGUUCUACAUGAAGGGGGUGCUAGAGUGAGAGAGGUGUGUGUUUGGGUUCUACAUGAAGGGGGGUGCUACAGUGAGAGAGGUGUGUGUGUUUGGGUUCUACAUGAAGGGGGGGGGCUACAGUGAGAGAGGUGUGUGUGUUUGGGUUCUACAUGAUUGGGGGUGCUACAGUGAGAGAGGUGUGUGUGUUUGGGUUCUACAUGAAGGGGGGCGCUACAGUGAGAGAGGUGUGUGUGUUUGGGUUCUACAUGAAGGGGG
Long non-coding RNA from Oncorhynchus tshawytscha (Chinook salmon), 342 nucleotides. The record is from Ensembl. NCBI's taxonomy places the organism in Eukaryota, Metazoa, Chordata, Actinopteri, Salmoniformes, Salmonidae.